RNAcentral lists this ribosomal RNA (229 nucleotides) under uncultured bacterium. RNAcentral's name for it is "partial 16S ribosomal RNA". It matches the Rfam family "Bacterial small subunit ribosomal RNA", at positions 568 to 796 of the family's 1533-position model. The record is from RNAcentral.
UGCGUAGGCGGACUAAUAAGUCAGUGGUGAAAUCUUUCGGCUCAACCGGGAAACUGCCAUUGCUACUGUUAGUCUUGAGUUCGGUUGAGGUAGGCGGAAUGUGUAAUGUAACGGUGAAAUGCUUAGCUAUUACACAGAACACCAAUUGCGUAGGCAGCUUACUAGACCGAGACUGACGCUGAGGCACGAAAGCGUGGGGAGCGAACAGGAUUAGAUACCCUGGUAGUCC